AGGCAGCGGUCCCGCUGCCAACGCGGAGCAGCGCGGGCAAGCAUCGGGAAUGGCUCCAGCAGCGACCGGCGGGAUCCCGCCGACUGCGCCAUCGCUGGGCCCGACGGCUGAGUGGCUGGCCAACAGCUCCGCUCUCGAUCGAGAGGUUCUGCGGGUUUUGUCAAGCCAUGGCUUACAGACAACUACUUUGACAACUAAAGUGGAUGGCAAUGAUGGCAAGGCUGAACACCUAGAGUAUAUUGCCUUUGCUUUGGUUCCUGUUUUCUUCAUCAUGGGUCUCUUGGGAAUUCUUAUCUGCCAUAUCCUUAAGAAAAAAGGAUAUCGUUGUACAACAGAAGCUGAAGAAGUAGAAGAAGAAAAAAUUGAUGAAAAAAUAGAAAUGAAUGAAACUAUACAUGAGAAUAGUGACACUGUGGGACAAAUUGUUAACUACAUCAUGAAAAAUGAAGCAAAUGCUGAUGUGUUAAAGGCAAUGGUAGCAGAUAGCAGUGUCUUUGAACCUGAAAGCCCAUUAUCUCCUACCUCUCCUGAGAGUCCAGUGAGUCCAGGGACUCCCUUGUCACCAGGUGUUGUUCCGUUCAGACACAGCUGCAAAGCCCAUCACUUCCAUACUGUUGGAGGAGUGGUAGAAAAGGAUGUUUGUACUCGCUGUAGUCACAAACGAUGGCACCUUAUAAAGCCUGCUCAAAAAGCUAAAGAGAACAGAAGGAGUCGUAUUGGAGAAGUUACAGUCCUUUCUGUGGGAAGGUUUCGAGUCACAAAAGUGGACCACAAAUCAAAUGCCAAAGAGCGGAAAAGCUUGAUGUCCGUUACUGGCGUGGAGAGCGCCAAUGGUGAGAUGCCCGCCACGCCUGCGAAACAGGAUGUGAGCGAAGCCCCUGCCACACCUGUGAAACAGGAAAUGCAGGAGAGGAGAAGCUCAGAAUAAAUGCAGAUCUGUGGAGAUUUGACUAAUAGCAAUGGAGUCACAUGAACCUGCUGAUCUCACAGGGAUCUAACUAGGCCAGGAGGUUGAGGUUUCCUUGUGAGUCAUUAAACGUGGAACCUUUAGACGAUGAUUGUCUGCAAGCACUUUGGAGAAACCUGAAAAUUCCCAAGAGAUGCAUACUAUUUAAGGAAAUGUAUUUAUGGCAGUGUAGCAUUUUACAAGUUCUGUGAUGUCAUUCCUGCAAGGUUAAACCCUUAAUCGUUUUUGACCAGUGAAAUCGUAAGAUUUAGACACUUAAAUACUGUUGAGCUGUGUGGACAUCAUAACAAAUGGCUUCAUCUUGGAAAGAAAGCAUAUGUACACAUUUUUGGACAGGAAAGGUAAAAGCUUUAUCAAGUCUUAAACUCUUUUUGUACUUAGACAAGCACUUACAAGCUCAAUAUUAAGAAUAAUACAAUUAUCUCGUGGAUAAACUGCAUUCAGCCCCGUGGUCCAUCUGGAUUUUUCCUCUCCUGUUCUGCCCGCUGCAGAAUUGACAAGUGUUUGCUGAAGAUAAAAGCCAGCCUUUGGAAGAUGAAAAUAUUCUUUCAAUCUUACUGCUUGUAGCCAAGUAAAACAUAGGAGGAAAUAAUCAGCCAAAUCUGCGUGUGUGCCUUUAUUACAUAAGCCCUCGAACUCUGUGCAGGGUACCUCACAGUAGAGACUGGUUCAGUUUUUCACAGAUGUUAAAUUAAAUUAUUUUUCCCAGGACCUGUACCUCUCCCUUACUACUUAACACAGGCUGAAGAGCAUCUUUUGGAUGAGCUCUUGGUGAGGUUACUUUCCUCAAGGCCUUAUGUUCCCUUGUUUUCUUGUAACUGCUCACUCAUAUUUGAAGAGUGCCUAAUAGUUUUGCUUUUUUUUUUUCUUACCCACAGGUUCCUUAUUAAGCUAAGGCAACAUAUUUCAACCCUUAGAUAAGGAUAUGGAAUAUUGGGCAUUAGUAUAUAUUCCAUAAAUUUUUUUAAAGUGCUUCAGAGUGGCUUUAUUGGACUAAGGGUAGUUGUAUUCAUUGACACCCAAAUCUUAAGCCAGUGUUACUCCUUUCAUAUUAUGAUGUUAACUCUCUGUAUCUCCUUCUGAUUUCAGCUUUGUCCUGUUACUUGUUUUGGGGAAGAAAAUCUCUGUUACACUUCAGCAAACUUUUCUGUGUAAUAGAAAAUCAUAUAAUUUCAGAGUGCCUAAGAAUAUAAGCUCUAUUGUAAGGCAUUUUAGUAGAGAUUGCAUUAUAUUCUGAGAACUGUAACUUAAUGUGCUUUAUGAACUCAAUGAAAAUCAGUGUAUGUUUUUGAAAUAGAUUUAUUUUAAAUUGAUAACCUUCAAUCUUUUUAAUACAAGUGCUCUAAAUUGUGUUUCUCCUUCAUAUCUGAGAAUUGUGUUUCUUCAUCGAUUUAUGCAGGCAGUGUUAACAAUCAGUGUGUACAAAAUUACUCUUCCUGCCUGUGUAUUAGUUUCUCCCAUGUCUUGUCAGGAAACAUCAAGUUUAUUUGCCCUUGUUGCAAGUAUGUGCUGCUGAUGGUCUUCCUACUAUGUGUAUUCACAAGAUACUGACGGCGCCUAUCAACAUAUACUUCUCAGCGAUACUGUAUCUGCUGAAAAAACCCCACCACUACCCACCCAAAACUUUGAAAAUAAGAACUGUUUCAUUGUUCUUUUAAAAAUGGAUAUUUUUAGAGAUAAUUGUCUUUCCUUGGGUACCCAAAAUAGCUGUUUGGCCAGGACUCUAACUUCAGUGUUAAGCACUGCUCCCUGCUCCCAUAAAUUUAAAAUCAGCUUGUGAAAUCUCUUCAAUAUUUAAGUACAACAUAAACACCAACCUCAUCUUACAGGCAUACAUUAAGCGUCACAUGAUUAUUUGUGUGAAGAAUAUUUCUAGAAGAUUUAAUUAGUAUUGGUGGUAGUAAUAAACUUUCAGUUUCCAAGAGAUUAAUAGCUAUGAGUAUAAAAUGUUAUUGGAAAAAGGGCACAUUGGAGAAAACAGCAGUUUUAAAAUAAUUUUCAGAAAGAAAAUACAUUUAAAGACUAUCCCCAGAAUUUUUUCUAGAAAUAGGGCAGUUUUUCUUGAUACUGUAUUUUGAUAUGUGAUGGAUUAGUACUUCAAAUAAAUGGCAGAAGGAUGGAAGAAAGUUUAAACAGUAAUAUGUAUUUUUUACUUAUUUUAAAAGUUGUUCCUAUUUUGAUUCCAUUGAUAAUACAUAGAAUAAAAGGGAUGGAAAGAUGUUGGAUUUGUAAAAUAUUGUUUACUGUAUAAAGUAAUUAUGUAAGGUAUUAUAAGACCUGAUACGUGCAAGAAUUGAAUUUUGCAUUGUUACCUACGUAAGAGAGGAUUUAGAAACUGUUCUGUUCCAUUGCCUGUAACACUACAUUGCUAUUUUGUAGGGUAUGGAUAUUGCCAUAUUAGUCUGCUUUUCUUAAAUUUGCUUAUCAAAUGUAUUUUUAACAAAAUAGUUUAUAUACAACUUUUAUACUACUAAGGAGUAAAUAAAAAAUAUUGAUUCUUAA
Molecule: RNA transcript, 3469 nt
Organism: Hirundo rustica (Barn swallow)
Lineage: Eukaryota; Metazoa; Chordata; Aves; Passeriformes; Hirundinidae
Gene: RELL1
Gene name: RELT like 1
Exons: 8
Source: RefSeq, a predicted model, not a curated record